GCCUCCGCUCUGCAGAACAGGCCCGGGACCCGAACGCCCAGCUCCCGGGGCGCCGGGGCACGUCGGAGUUCCGUUUGCAUGAACUUUUCUACCCAAAGGAAGUCUUGAAACCUCCAUAAAUGCACUUCAACUAUUGCAAAAAAAAAAAAAAGAAAGAAAGAAAAAAAAUCGGAAAUUUGUUUUAGGAUCUAUUCUCUUUACAAAAAUGGGAACAUGAAAGCAGUCCCCCAAUUUGAGCAACGUGCUCUGCAAGGACAGAACGCGUUUACUAAACCUGCAGCUACCGCCGGUGCAGGUAGGAUCCCGUCUUCACGUACAUCUAAAGAUCCAGUUGUAGAGGAAGCGGGGCCGCGUCCUGGCCGGGCUCCCAGAGGGGCCUCCUCUGCUGCUGGCACACAAGGCCGCCUUUGAGAUGGGAAAAUUCUUCCCUACCACGUCUUUAUGUUGUAGCACUGGAUGGGAUGAUAACAUCGAAAGAAAAAGACCUUAUGAAAGUACUGGACUUUUUUUUUUUCUUUUUUUUUCAAAAACAUGUUGAAAGAAUGAGUAAUACCACGACAGGGUAUAUAUAAUUAAACCUUUUUCCAGGGUGAGGGAAAGGUUCUGUAUGAAGUCGUCGUGUUGAUGUUAUCAAGUGAAUAAGCAACGCUUGCUUCCUCAAAUCCUUCAACUGAAGAAAUCACUACUGGAAGGUCGUCUUAGCCUAAGUGUCAUGGUUUUUGCUGCUGUGGACCUUGUUCUGCUAAAGAGACCAUCAACAAAGUAUCAUAGCAUAAAGACCAUUUCUUGGAAAGAAUAUCCUAUUGUGCUGUACUAACCCUUCUGAUGGUGAUGAGAUGAAGUGAGGUGAAUGUCUCGGCAUUGCCACGGUGUUGGCCCACUAUCGGCCUGAUGAUGCUAUGUCAGAAGGAGGAUCGUCUACUCCAGGAUCCUGGGCUGCUCAAACCACGGAAAGUGAAAUCUGGGACUACUGUAUUUCUACAGUUAAACACUAAAGUCCCUUGUUUGUUUUCUGGGCACGUUUAGAUAGUAUAUUCUUCCCACAUUAAGAAUGGUAUUUUUGGCCCACUUUGCAUUGCCUUAAACACACUGUGGUGCUGGGGGAAGUAGUGGGAGGAAGGAAAA
This is a long non-coding RNA of Canis lupus familiaris (dog), 1125 nucleotides long. RefSeq lists it as uncharacterized. NCBI's taxonomy places the organism in Eukaryota, Metazoa, Chordata, Mammalia, Carnivora, Canidae. The record is from RefSeq and is a predicted model, not a curated record. The transcript is spliced from 2 exons.